UGUUAAAUUCUCAUCUAUUUGUAAUGUUAAAAACUGGUUUGACUAACGGAAUAACUAAAUCAUAACAUGUGACAUGCCACUCUACCUCAAACUUAUGUAUAAGAAUCAAUUUUUAAUAAUAGAAAAAGAUUAAAAAUUUAAUA
Molecule: non-coding RNA, 143 nt
Organism: Gossypium raimondii (Peruvian cotton)
Lineage: Eukaryota; Viridiplantae; Streptophyta; Magnoliopsida; Malvales; Malvaceae
Source: Rfam